UGUAGUUUAGUGUAAGAUGCACAUAAAUUUUUGGGUUUUAAGGAUGAGUUUAAUUCUCUACACUACAA
RNAcentral lists this transfer RNA (68 nucleotides) under Chanohirata hamata. RNAcentral describes it as "tRNA-Gln". Lineage: Eukaryota; Metazoa; Arthropoda; Insecta; Hemiptera; Cicadellidae. The record is from RNAcentral.